RNAcentral lists this ribosomal RNA (482 nucleotides) under uncultured bacterium. RNAcentral's name for it is "partial 16S ribosomal RNA". It matches the Rfam family "Bacterial small subunit ribosomal RNA", at positions 30 to 507 of the family's 1533-position model. The record is from RNAcentral.
AUUGAACGCUGGCGGCAUGCUUUACACAUGCAAGUCGAACGGUAACAGGCCGCAAGGUGCUGACGAGUGGCGAACGGGUGAGUAAUUCAUCGGAACGUGCCCAGCCGUGGGGGAUAACUACUCGAAAGAGUAGCUAAUACCGCAUACGAUCUAUGGAUGAAAGCGGGGGACCGUAAGGCCUCGCGCGAUUGGAGCGGCCGAUGUCAGAUUAGGUAGAUGGUGGGGUAAGGGCUGACCAAGCCAACGAUCUGUAGCUGGUCUGAGAGGACGAGCAGCAACACUGGGACUGAGACACGGCCCAGACGCCUACGGGAGGCAGCAGUGGGGAAUUUUGGACAAUGGGCGCAAGCCUGAUCCAGCAAUGCCGCGUGCAGGAAGACGGCCUUCGGGUUGUAAACUGCUUUUGUACGGAACGAAACGGCUCUGGUUAAUACCCGGGGCUAAUGACGGUACCGUAAGAAUAAGCACCGGCUAACUACGUG